Molecule: ribosomal RNA, 251 nt
Filed under: uncultured prokaryote
Description: partial 16S ribosomal RNA
Rfam family: Bacterial small subunit ribosomal RNA
Source: RNAcentral
ACGUAGGGGGCGAGCGUUGUCCGGAAUCACUGGGCGUAAAGCGCGCGCGGGUGGUUUCGUAGGUCGGCCGUGAAAGACAUGGGCUCAACCCGUGCAGGUCGGUCGAUACCGCGGGACUGGAGUAUGGGAGAGGAAAGCGGAAUUCCCGGUGUAGCGGUGAAAUGCGUAGAUAUCGGGAGGAACGCCAGUGGCGAAGGCGGCUUUCUGGCCCAUCACUGACACUGAGGCGCGAAAGCCGGGGGAGCGAACGG